CUUUCUUUAGUUUCAGUUUAAUCCGUUUCUAAACCGUAGAAAAAUACUGGACACACAAAUUCAUGUAGAUUCGAUCCCUAAGUACUACAACUGAUUAGCUGUGCACUUGUGACUUUCAUUUGUUUUUAUUAAGGGUAAAACUUGUUCCCUCACUUCGUAGCACAUCACUUCAUCCCUCCAUGGUCUAUGAUGUUCUCAGACUCUCCCCAUGGAUCUCUCUGGUUUUCUCCUUUGGUGUUCUCUAUUUUGCCUCGGGUAUGAAUUAUGUUGCAUCUCUUGGUGAAAUUGUUCCAUCUGAAUGGCUGUCAAUCUCUUCAUCUCGACAGUCAUUGCUUGUUAUUGCGGCGUCUGGUUUCCUCCUCAUGGUCUGACAUCUCUACCUUUAACAGAAAAGCUAACAGAUCACCAUUACCUAGCUUUCACAAUCGAUCAAUUCUUAAAUGUCUCUUUGAGUUCCCACAUAACCAUUUAAACUAAUCCUAAUGCUAUAUUUAAGAAAACACAGACUUGAAUCCGAAGAGACAAAAAUGCAACUCGAUGGCACAGAUCUAAUGAUAUAAGUUGAAGAGACAAAAUGAACACAAAUGGAGAUCGGAAGAUGACAACACAGGAACACUAGAUCACUAUGAUUAUGGUGGAAUCUAACUAGAUCUAGCAUUCGAUCUAACAAGAACAGAUGCACAUAAGAGAUAAGAAGCAAUUUUUUUAUGAAAUUUUCUGAUAGAUCUAUAUGCGAACUGAAAAGACAAUUAACAAAACUAAACGAUCAGAAAUAGAAAGGAAAAAAAAACGACCUGAUGAAGAGGUUGAACAACGCGUAGAGUGGCUCUAGUACCACUUGAUAAGAUCUUCCAAGGACCGUCACUCUAAGGGUUAGAAUAGGAUAGAUCUUGUGCAAUGAAAUACUGAUGAUUCUAGGAAAAGAGAAGUGGAUUGAUAGGUUGCAAAAAGUUGCAGAAGACCUUUGAUAUACAAAGGGUGAUCCAAAGGAUAUGACACACCUAAAGGAUCAGUUGCUUGAUAGAUUUGACACACUAACAAGCUAAGAUUUUUCAGAGAAUAAAAUUAUCUUUACUUUAGAAAGAAUUUUUAUUAAAAGAAAUAGUUUCUCUGAAGAGAUUACAAGAGGUUAUAAAGAAGAAGAGAAGUCUUCAACAGCUAAGACUUGUCUCAAAAACUAGCAAAACAAUAAAGACAAAGUUUGAAUCAAAAG
Molecule: long non-coding RNA, 1213 nt
Filed under: Eutrema salsugineum
Lineage: Eukaryota; Viridiplantae; Streptophyta; Magnoliopsida; Brassicales; Brassicaceae
Description: long non-coding RNA (ESAL_LNC000483)
Source: RNAcentral